UAAAGGAAAAGAAACAAAUAAUUUUUUUAAUUCCUUCAUUUUGGGUUUUUCACUUUUUUGAAUUUUUUUCGAUUUAAAAAAAAUUUAAAAAGAUAAUUUGACCGAUCCUAACUGAUACCGUGACCGAUCCGGAAAAACUGUACGAUUUUCUAUCCAUAUCGAUACGGAUCCGUAUGGUAUCGGUUUUGUCAUUGACCGAUACCGAUACCGAUACAGACACCGAGUUUUAAACCCUUGCUCACAAUCCCAAGCUAGUGUUCGUAUUUCCCUUUCUCAUUCAUGGCUCUGCUUCCUUCAUUACAGAUCUAGAAGGUGUGAAUCGAGCAGCUGUUCACAGUAGAGACCACCGAGCAGCGACCAGCAACCCUCGACUGAGCAGCAACCAGCGACCAGUACCACCAGACCCUUAUUCCUCCCUUUUCUGUUGGAGAUUUGCUUUCUCAGCUCAAACAACUACAGUAUGCGUUGUCGACCUGGAUACCGGCCUGACCGAUGUGGAUCGAAAUGCACUCUCUCAUUUUCUCUUAGCGAGAAGGAAAUUUCGAAGGAAUGCGAGAAAUGUAGGAGGAAAAGCGAGAAGGAGGAGAAGAAAGCAGACAAACACGGGCGUUUAUUAAGACGCCUCUUCGAUGAGGGAUGAACAGGUGUAGAGGGUUUCGCCUGGCGUUUUAUAGGAGAAGAAGCGGAGGGGAAGAGAGGGAGAAAUAGAUACCAGGUUCUUUAACCACCGUUAGUUAAUCGUGGUCACCGUCACGGACUGUUGCUUUGGCUCGUUUCCAAUUUCUACCUCUGUCCUUAUCCAACGGAUGCUUGUCCAUAACCUAAAAUCGCUGCACGUUUUCAAAAAUCAAACCGGUCCUCACUCUCAGAAAACGAAACCGGAGCAGCGAAGAGCCUCUGCCAGAACUGGUAUUUUUUCUCUCUCUCUCUCUCUGGGACGAAAGCUACUGGAGGCGGUGAAACCACUUACUCUUUAACAGAGCUCUACAAUUCCAUUCCUCACUCUCGAGUUUCAACCCUCCUUGUGAAAACCAGAGCUUCAGCACUGAAGCGGUUCUUUUGUUGGUCACAACAAGACUCCAUUGCAUCUACAGAAAGUGCCGGACGGUAGGGUUCACCAGUUCGGACUUCAGGGGCGCAGGACUCUAAAGUGGAGGGAGGGAAUGUAGUUCCAAUUUAGGAUCUUCCGCUUCUUCUUCCUUACGAGUUUCAAUUCAACUUCUAAACAUUUAAGUCCUUGGUUUUGUUUUAUUCGUUCUUCUCAGAUUCUUAAAUUUGUGCUUUCUUCAUUUU
Molecule: long non-coding RNA, 1293 nt
Organism: Macadamia integrifolia
Lineage: Eukaryota; Viridiplantae; Streptophyta; Magnoliopsida; Proteales; Proteaceae
Exons: 2
Source: RefSeq, a predicted model, not a curated record